CUGGUUAUCCUGCCAAAUCUGGCGCUUCACCUCCACUGCACAUGCUUUAUACAAAUCCUUAUCAGCCAUUACUAACUUCAGCUUCUUCUCAGGCACCUUGGGCAAGUGCUUCAUGACACACAUUACCACAGGCUGUAUGGAAGGCAUCUUGACCAAGGAAAAGCUUUUCUCCAGGAGAUCUUCCAGCUUCUUGUACCUUUCCUCCACCUUCCCUUCCAAGGCGAUGGCCGAGACCCGCUCCAGCAGCUUCUCCCUCAGCUCGUCAAACACCGACUGGUGGAACUCCAGCCGGGGAGUGCCGUGCAGGUCCAGGAAGGGCAGGGCCGACUGCAGCGAGGGCAGCAGGACCCCAUUUUCUGUCUGGAACUGCUCGAUGGCCUUCAGCGGCUCCGUGCAGUUGGUCAGCGUCUCCUUGAGAUCCUCGCCGUUGGCCACCCCCAGCUCCUGCAGCCCCGCGUACAUGGCAGCCGGCCGCCCCGCCGGGCCCGCUCCCGCCGCGGUCCGCCCGCUCCCGGUCCCCCA
This 522-nucleotide long non-coding RNA is filed under the name Gallus gallus (chicken). Lineage: Eukaryota; Metazoa; Chordata; Aves; Galliformes; Phasianidae. The record is from RNAcentral.